This 347-nucleotide unclassified non-coding RNA is filed under the name soil metagenome. Its description in RNAcentral is "partial contains 5.8S ribosomal RNA, internal transcribed spacer 2, and large subunit ribosomal RNA". The stretch from base 5 to 119 matches the Rfam family "5.8S ribosomal RNA", at positions 40 to 154 of the family's 154-position model. The record is from RNAcentral.
GAUGAGAACGCAGCGAAAUGCGAUAAGUAAUGUGAAUUGCAGAAUUCAGUGAAUCAUCGAGUCUUUGAACGCACAUUGCGCCCCCUGGUAUUCCGGGGGGCAUGCCUGUCCGAGCGUCAUUGCCGCCCUCAAGCACGGCUUGUGUGUUGGGCCCCCGCCCCCCGGCUUCGGGGGGCGGGCCCGAAAGGCAGCGGCGGCACCGCGUCCGGUCCUCGAGCGUAUGGGGCUUCGUCACCCGCUCUGUAGGCCCGGCCGGCGCCCGCCGGCGACCCCAAUCAAUCUUUCCAGGUUGACCUCGGAUCAGGUAGGGAUACCCGCUGAACUUAAGCAUAUCAAUAAGCGGAGGA